ACUGGACAGAAUCUGAUAAGGAAAAAAAAACAAAUAUUGCCAAACUGGGCUGUCAAAGCUAUAUAAAGCUGAUCUAUUGUGGAGGAAAGAAGUGGAGCAAAAAAUAUAGUGAGAUUUCAGACACUAAUUUUUGAAUAAGAAAACGUCCAAACGACUUAGUGAUCAAACAGAUUCCUGCUCUUUAAGGUAAAUGGAUUUUUACUCUAUAAACUCUAUACAUGCUAAGCACUGAACUGCAGGUGUGAUAAAGGUCUGUAUCUUAUCUAAAUCACCUCUUACGCUAUUUAGCUAGCGUUUUUGCCAAACUUCUGCCUGAGAAUUACUAAUGAACUUCCUGUUUCUCAUUUGAGCAUUUAAAGGAUUUCUACGUCCAUCUUCCUUUUUCUUCUAAACAGCUCCUGACAGCAGUGAAGCUGCAACUUACAGAUAUGGUCAUGGAGAUCCGUGUGUUUAUCUUUGUCAUACACAUCAGCAUUAAUAAGAUCAAGUUUACUUGCAACUUAAAAAAAAAAGUGGACUGUAAAUAAUUAAAAACACAAAACAGGAUACUUACCUUAACAUAUUGGAAUAGUUUCAAGACAAACAGCUUGAAAGACACAGAUGUUGACACAGAACAAAUAUUGACAAACUGGGCUGUCAAAGCUAUAUAAAGCUGAUCUAUUUUGGAGGAAAGAAGUGGAGCAAAAAAAUAUAAUAUGGUCAUGGAGAUCCGUGUGUUUAUCUUUGUCAUACACAUCAGCAUUAAUAAGAUCAAGUUUACUUGCAACUUAAAAAAAAAAAGUGGACUGUAAAUAAUUAAAAACACAAAACAGGAUACUUACCUUAACAUAUUGGAAUAGUUUCAAGACAAACAGCUUGAAAGACACAGAUGUUGACACAGAACAAAUAUUGACAAACUGGGCUGUCAAAGCUAUAUAAAGCUGAUCUAUUUUGGAGGAAAGAAGUGGAGAAAAAACAUACAGUGAGAUUUCAGACACUAAUUUCUGAAUAAGAAAACGUCCAGACGACUUAGUGAUCAAACAGAUUCCUGCUCUUUAAGAUAUGGUCAUGGAGAUCCGUGUGUUCGGCCUGGUUCUGCUGUUGGUGCUGAGCGUCGCACUGCCUGCUGAAGCCCAGUCCUGGGAGAUAUUCAAAAAGAAGCAUGUUUACCUGCACAUGAAAGAUUCUUCAUGUACCAAGAGGA
Molecule: long non-coding RNA, 1183 nt
Organism: Tachysurus vachellii
Lineage: Eukaryota; Metazoa; Chordata; Actinopteri; Siluriformes; Bagridae
Exons: 4
Source: RefSeq, a predicted model, not a curated record